Non-coding RNA from Schistosoma haematobium, 45 nucleotides. Lineage: Eukaryota; Metazoa; Platyhelminthes; Trematoda; Strigeidida; Schistosomatidae. The record is from Rfam.
AUCCAGCCGAUGAGUCCCAAAUAGAAUGACACGUGCGUCCUGGAU